GUUUUCUUUAACAGAUAUGAGUCAUGUAUUUUAAUGUUUUUUUGUCUUUGUCCUAUUUAAGUGUCUAGUUUCUAUAAAAGAGAGUCACUCCUAUAGUAUUUGUUAAUGUUAUGCUUUAAAUAGGAAGUUUGUAUAAGGUGUUUAUACAUUCUAAAAAUAGAAGGUUCUUGGAGUAUCCUUUGUUGUGAAACUGUGGGGGCACCCUUGUAAGUUCUUCAAUGAACCAUGUCAACUGGUAUUAUAUAGAACUAUUUAUACUUGUUACUCAAAGAACCAAAUGAACAACCUAUCCACUCAAAUCUACCCCAAAAGGGUCUUCAAAUGUUUGUUUGUGAAACCAUUAAAAGUGAGUUAUUUGAAGAACCCUUUCAAAGGUUUCUUAUAAGAAUGUAAGGAUUCCACAAAAGGUUCAAUGUGAAGAACCCAUAAAGGACCCUCCAAGAACCUUCUCAUUUCAUAGCAUCUGACUCCCAUGUCAAUUCAGUGGCACGAAAAUGCACAAUUUGUGUUGGGCUUAAAAAUGAAGGAAAUAAUACACUUUAAGUCAAUUUAUUUGUAUUGCAUUUUGAAUGCUGAAUGAAGGAUACAUGCAUACGAUUUCUCUACAAGUAACUGCAGGCUCUCGGGAGAAAUGCAGAAAAACAGAGCAGGUAGUGAUUUCCCGUUGGAUAAUAUCUUGUAACAGCCACCAAGUCGUGGUAGAAAUACCCUGUUUGGGGAAGAGGGACUGGUGCAUGUGUAUAUGGAGACACAGAAUGUAAUGGUGUAAUUUAAGGUUAACUGAUGUGCAGACGUGAAAGGGCGUGGUUGAAUGGUGACACGUGGGUGUUAAGAGUGUUCUGGAAUGUGGACCGUGUACAAGUCCAACUGGGCGAGGACCCAGAAUGAGCAUGAAAGGGAUGGUUUGUGCUGCCUGACGUUAAGCUGAAACUCCUGUGUGUUGUACUGAGAGCCACUAGUUGUGUGUGUGUGUGUGUGUGUGUGUGUGUGUGUGUGUGUGUGUG
Molecule: long non-coding RNA, 1004 nt
Organism: Esox lucius (northern pike)
Lineage: Eukaryota; Metazoa; Chordata; Actinopteri; Esociformes; Esocidae
Source: Ensembl